GAAGUGCGAAAAGUGUCAUGACUUGCAGAUUCCCGAGAGCUGACAAAUCUCUGAAUGCAAAUGGCGGUCGGAUAAAAACGACCAUGUAUUGUAGAGUGUAGAUGCUCCAGCACAUCAUCACGUAUCAUCUUGCUUCACGGCGAGAACGUGGAUCUGCGCUAGCGGUUAGAUCGCGAGCGUGAAAUGGAGAGGAGAGUAUGUGGUGCUCGUGUGAACACACAGCCAUUGCAUACUUGGAUAUGGUAUACCUUAUCUGAGUUUGUUCUUGUUGCUAUGUGGAUGCGCGUGCAAUAUCCGCUGUUCUUCAACAAUAUCUUAGUAUAUUUAAAUAUAUCUAUGAGCCACCUCUACAAUGCAGGAUAACCCGCUGAACUUAA
Molecule: unclassified non-coding RNA, 377 nt
Filed under: uncultured fungus
Lineage: Eukaryota; Fungi
Description: sequence contains ITS1
Rfam family: 5.8S ribosomal RNA (bases 1-101)
Source: RNAcentral